CCCCCAAUAAAUCGCUGGGAAUAGGAAUAUAGCAUUUCAAUAUUAUAGAACACUUACGGUUUCCCUGAAGUACACUCCGUUCCCUGAAUGCAUCUCUGCAAAGUGCACACCCUGAAUGACUCAAUCUGAUUCCAUUUACAGCCCUUACAGCCAAUAGGAAUAUGGCUGUUCGGGCUAGCUAGCCAAUGGGAUAGAUCCACGAUUCGUCCCCGCAUGCACGGCUCAGUGAUGGCUACUUGUCAGUUGUCACUUGAUUGCAUUGGUCAUCAACCGUCUUUUAGGUAUGACCACGACAUCAAUGACAUCAACAACAGCAGCAGUGUUACGGUCGUAAACACAGUGCUCUGUGGAUCUCCACUUCCAGCCUGCCUGCUUCACUCUCCAGCCUGAAGCACCCGCAAUCACCUCCAACCCAUGCUUCAUCCCUAAUCACCUUUUUUUGUUAGGGUAAAGGUACCAUUAAGCCUAUUCCUCUACUAUCUUAGGAUUGGUGCUGUGAUUUCUUCUUUUUGUAGUAAUUAUCUUACUGCGAACAAAUUAGCUUAAUCUAUUAUACCAAAAAAAAUGUAAUACUUUGGACAGUGUAUAAUCUGUAUGUAACCCCAUGUAACCAAUGUCUUAAAAUGAACAGCCUGGCAUUUCAUCACAGUGAGAAUUGGUCUGACAACAUGGACUUCCUAUUGAAAAACAUGAGGUGGGCUUUAAUGGAACAUAGUCGGCUUAUGGUUCCAUAGUUAUUUCUGGUGAAAAAAAGAUGAUUCAUUACCUUUCAAAUGAAAUAAAUUUAUAUAAAAGUUUGCAUGGAGCCUAAAUAACCUGUCGACUAAGCAUUAUAGUAAUUGUUAUUUAUUCAACGUUUAGAAUUAUCAAGUCAAGUCUCAUUCAAAGUUACAAAACAUUUUAUAAUGUAUGUAUUCAUUCAUUCAUCUAUUACUAAUCAGAAAACAUUUAGGUUAUGUCCUUGACAUGUCUAAUUCUUUAGCAGUGCAUCACCGAACACGGCUAAUGGUUUCACCAUGAGAUCAGCUCAGUGCGCUCUCUCAUGAAACUCCUCUAUGUACUUAGUAGGUCCAUGAGAUUGAUGCACUUAGGUGGGUUUUAUUCAACAUUGGCAAAUGUGAUGGGUAUGCAAUAAAAAUAAUUAUGGAAAUAAGAACUGGCUGGAUUUUGUGUCCUUGUUGUGAUGGUGCAGGUGUUUCUUUGUGUGUGUUGUAAAAAGACUGAUGUUUGAACCCAUUGCCAAAUCGUUUAUGCGUCUAGUUAUAUAGACGAAGCCAACACAUUGCAGGAGAGAUUCUUUAGUUUUCAAACUAAUUGAUGGAGGCACGACCGCAGAGGCCAUCUCUAAUGUACUUCUGCAACAGUUGGGUGUCGUUUGUUCAGCGGAGAAUGAGGUGGACAGAGACAGACUGAUGGCA
Molecule: long non-coding RNA, 1418 nt
Filed under: Gadus morhua (Atlantic cod)
Lineage: Eukaryota; Metazoa; Chordata; Actinopteri; Gadiformes; Gadidae
Description: lncRNA (ENSGMOG00000033931.1)
Source: RNAcentral